GCCAAUGAUUGGGGCGCAUUCGAAGUUGUAUUCCUUACGCAAAGCAAUCAUUCAAAAUCUAUCUCCCAUUUCCUCUAUAUAUUUUUCUCUCUCUCUCUGCUCUCAGUUUCUCAUUAUAAUCAGAGCUGAGUGAAUGUCUCUCCCUCCAAAAAAAGCAUUACUACAUAGAUCAAGCUCCCCCCAGAGAAUUCUUUGCCAACAGUUUUGUUUUGAAGACAGUGAAUUUAGAGCCAAUCAAGGCUCUCUCUGAGAUGUAUAUCAUAUUUUUUUGUCUUCUUCUUUUCGACGGCGACAAAGUUGUUGAAGAAGGUGACUGGGAAAAGGAGAGAUAAAAUCAACGAAAUCCCAUAUACCAAAAAGGAUUUCUUUUCUUUUCUUUUCAUUUUUCAUUUGAAAAUCAAAGUGUUAAUUUCUUCAGUUAUAGUAGAUACGAUACUUUUAACGAUAGACUAUUCAAAUUCAAAACGGUAUUAAUAUGGCUAUCUCUAGCUUAGAGCAAAGCGAGGUGGAGUUUGUGAAGUGCCAUUGCUGUGGACUAACUGAGGAGUGUACUCUGGACUAUAUUGCUCGUGUGAGGGAGAGGUACCAAGGUCGAUGGAUAUGUGGGCUAUGUGCUGAGGCAGUGAAAGAUGAGUCUUUUAGAUUGCAGAGAGAUGUGAGUAUUGAUGAGGCACUCAAAAGCCAUGAGAAGUUUUGUGAGCAGAGUUCAAGUCCACCCACUAAUCCUACAGAAGAUUUGAUUGUUGCAAUGAAACAGCUUCUUCGGCGGACCUUAGAUUCUCCUAAGAAAGAAGGGUUGGGAAGCUGUGGACCGUUUCUUCGAUCCAAGAGUUGCUUUUCUAGUUUUUCAGACACAAAAGAAUGAUUGAAGAUCAAAAUGUUUCAGUAAUUGUGGGCAAACUGCAAAGUGGUGAGCCAGAUUAUAUUAGAUUCGAUUAGUGCUUAUUACCUAAAGUUUUAGCUUGGUUUGUCUAAUGGCAUUGCUAUUCACUUAGGGGGGAAAAACUAGGGUCUUUCUCUUUCUAGUGGGUUAUUUUGCAUUUUACAUUUUGAUUGAACGAAUGAAAGUAGAAGGAUCUUUCUUCCUGGAUGAAUUUUAGUACCUAAAUGCUUAGAUCGUUGCAUAAGCAUGUCUUUUUAGAGCUUUGGUGAUGGGGCUCCAUUGUAAGGACUCGAAUAAAAUUUUCAUGGGAUUCAUUUA
Quercus lobata is the source of this 1201-nucleotide long non-coding RNA. RefSeq lists it as uncharacterized. The transcript is spliced from 2 exons. The record is from RefSeq and is a predicted model, not a curated record. Lineage: Eukaryota; Viridiplantae; Streptophyta; Magnoliopsida; Fagales; Fagaceae.